This 205-nucleotide long non-coding RNA is filed under the name Helianthus annuus (common sunflower). Its description in RNAcentral is "hypothetical non coding rna". Lineage: Eukaryota; Viridiplantae; Streptophyta; Magnoliopsida; Asterales; Asteraceae. The record is from RNAcentral.
AUUGACCAUAAACUGGUCAAUGCAGAAAGUCAAACACAGUUUGACUUUAACGCUAAAACGAAAGAAAAGCACGAAAGAAUACUUACAGAAGGUCCCCGCAAGAUUUGAUCCGAUUUACCCUCAGGUAUGAAGUAUGAACUCCAAUUUAGAGGGCCAAAAUCAGAUUCAAAUGUGGGUUUUGCAAAUGAGAAUGGAGGGGUAUUUA